Pelobates cultripes (western spadefoot toad) is the source of this 285-nucleotide non-coding RNA. The record is from the annotation of a GenBank genome assembly. Lineage: Eukaryota; Metazoa; Chordata; Amphibia; Anura; Pelobatidae.
CACAAACACACACAGACACAGUCACAUACACACACACAGUCAGACACAUACACAGACACACACAGUCAGACACACACACACAGUCAGACACACACACACAGUCAGACACAAACACACACACAAACACACAGACACACAGUCACAUACACACACACACACAGUCAGACACACACACACACACACAGUCAGACACACACAUACACACACAGUCAGACACAAACACACACACAAACACACACAGUCACAUACACACACAGUCAGACACAUACACAGACACAAACACAG